UACAGAGACUACGAGCGUUACUCGGAUUCACUGGGCGUAAAGGGUGCGUAGGUGGCUAAAUGUGUUGGGUGUGAAAUCUCGGGGCUUAACUCCGAAACUGCGCCCAAGACUGUUUAGCUUGAGUCCUGGAGAGGUAAGCGGAAUUCCUAGUGUAGCAGUGAAAUGCGUAGAUAUUAGGAGGAACACCAAAGGCGAAGGCAGCUUACUGGACAGGCACUGACACUGAGGCACGAAAGCGUGGGGAGCAAAAAGGAUUAGAUACCCUUGUAGUCCACGCCGUAAACUUUGCACACUAGGUCUCGGGCAAUUCGACCUGCUCGGGGCUCAAGCUAACGCAAUAAGUGUGCCGCCUGAGGACUACGGUCGCAAGACUAAA
Molecule: ribosomal RNA, 376 nt
Filed under: uncultured bacterium
Lineage: Bacteria
Description: bacterial SSU rRNA
Rfam family: Bacterial small subunit ribosomal RNA
Source: RNAcentral